This 459-nucleotide ribosomal RNA is filed under the name uncultured bacterium. RNAcentral's name for it is "partial 16S ribosomal RNA". It matches the Rfam family "Bacterial small subunit ribosomal RNA", at positions 338 to 795 of the family's 1533-position model. The record is from RNAcentral.
CCUACGGGAGGCAGCAGUGAGGAAUAUUGGUCAAUGGGAGAGAGCCUGAACCAGCCAAGCCGCGUGAGGGAAGACGGUACUGUGGAUUGUAAACCUCUUUUGUCGGAGAACAAAACCCGGGACGUGUCCCGGACUGCGUGUAUCCGAAGAAAAAGCAUCGGCUAACUCCGUGCCAGCAGCCGCGGUAAUACGGAGGAUGCGAGCGUUAUCCGGAUUUAUUGGGUUUAAAGGGUGCGUAGGCGGUCUGUUAAGUCAGCGGUAAAAUUGCGGGGCUCAACCCCGGCGCGCCGUUGAAACUGGCAGACUUGAGUUGGCGAGAAGUAUGCGGAAUGCGCGGUGUAGCGGUGAAAUGCAUAGAUAUCGCGCAGAACUCCGAUUGCGAAGGCAGCAUGCCGGCGCCAGACUGACGCUGAGGCACGAAAGCGUGGGGAUCGAACAGGAUUAGAUACCCGGGUAGUC